GAUAUGUUUAAAAUACAUAUAAAAUUUGAAAAAUAUUAAUUUUAUCUUUAAAAAAAUUUAUAUCAAUUUGAUUUCUGUAAAAAUAAAAUAUAAUUUUACUAAUCUUUAAUGAUAGUUUGGAGGAAUCCGUCUGAGGAGUUCGCGUCUGAUUAGCUAGUUGGCGAGACAAUAACUUUCCAAGGCGACAAUCUUGAUCCAAGAGACCAAGACGAUGAUCAGCCACACUGGAACUAAGACACAGCCUACACUCCUACAGGAGGCAGUAGUGAGAAUUUUCUACAAUGGACGAAAGCCUGACAGAGCAAUGCC
RNAcentral lists this non-coding RNA (309 nucleotides) under Glycine max (soybean). Its description in RNAcentral is "Bacterial small subunit ribosomal RNA". It matches the Rfam family "Bacterial small subunit ribosomal RNA", at positions 144 to 398 of the family's 1533-position model. Lineage: Eukaryota; Viridiplantae; Streptophyta; Magnoliopsida; Fabales; Fabaceae. The record is from Rfam by way of RNAcentral.